CCUACGGGGGGCUGCAGUGAGGAAUAUUGGUCAAUGGGCGAGAGCCUGAACCAGCCAUGCCGCGUGCAGGAAGACGGCCCUACGGGUUGUAAACUGCUUUUGUGUGGGAAGAAAACGUUCUACGUGUAGGACACUGACGGUACCAUAUGAAUAAGCAUCGGCUAACUCCGUGCCAGCAGCCGCGGUAAUACGGAGGAUGCGAGCGUUAUCCGGAUUUAAUAGGUUGUAGGGGUGUGUAUGAGGACGAUUAGAAAUCUCAGAGCUUAACUCUGAAACUGCCAUAGAUACUGGUUGUCUUGAGUACAGUUGAAGUAGGCGGAAUGUGUAAUGUAGCGGUGAAAUGCUUAGAUAUUACACAGAACACCGAUUGCGAAGGCAGCUUGCUAAGCUGUUACUGACGCUGAUGCACGAAAGCGUGGGGAGCGAACAGGAUUAGAUACCCGAGUAGUC
This 450-nucleotide ribosomal RNA is filed under the name uncultured bacterium. RNAcentral describes it as "partial 16S ribosomal RNA". It matches the Rfam family "Bacterial small subunit ribosomal RNA", at positions 338 to 795 of the family's 1533-position model. The record is from RNAcentral.